CCUACGGGAGGCAGCAGUGAGGAAUAUUGGUCAAUGUGCGCGAGCCUGAACCAGCCAAGUAGCGUGAAGGAUGACUGCCCUACGGGUUGUAAACUUCUUUUAUAAAGGAAUAAAGUGAGGCACGUGUGCCUUUUUGUAUGUACUUUAUGAAUAAGGAUCGGCUAACUCCGUGCCAGCAGCCGCGGUAAUACGGAGGAUACGAGAGUUAUCCGGAUUUAUUGGGUUUAAAGGGAGCGUAGAUGGGUUGUUAAGUCAGUUGUGAAAGUUUGCGGCUCAACCGUAAAAUUGCAAUUGAUACUGGCAGUCUUGAGGACAUUUGAGGGAGGCGGAUUUAGUGGUGUAGCGGUGAAAU
Molecule: ribosomal RNA, 352 nt
Filed under: uncultured bacterium
Lineage: Bacteria
Description: partial 16S ribosomal RNA
Rfam family: Bacterial small subunit ribosomal RNA
Source: RNAcentral